GCCCGGGUGCCGGAAUUGGUAGACGGAGGGGCCUUAAAAGCCCCGGCCCCUUAGGGGCGUACGGGUUCGAUCCCCGUCCCGGGCA
Molecule: transfer RNA, 85 nt
Filed under: Thermoleophilaceae bacterium
Lineage: Bacteria; Bacillati; Actinomycetota; Thermoleophilia; Thermoleophilales; Thermoleophilaceae
Description: tRNA-Leu
Rfam family: tRNA
About the family: Transfer RNA (tRNA) molecules are approximately 80 nucleotides in length. Their secondary structure includes four short double-helical elements and three loops (D, anti-codon, and T loops).
Source: RNAcentral